RNAcentral lists this ribosomal RNA (360 nucleotides) under environmental clone CC-7. RNAcentral's name for it is "bacterial SSU rRNA". It matches the Rfam family "Bacterial small subunit ribosomal RNA", at positions 30 to 403 of the family's 1533-position model. The record is from RNAcentral.
UUGAACGCUGGCGGUAUGCUUAAAACAUGCAAGUCGAACNGCNAGGNACUUCGGUGCCCUAUAGUGGCGGACAGGUGAGUAACACGUGGGAAUCUACCUGUUAGUGGGGGACAGCCCAGCGAAAGCUGGAUUAAUACCGCAUACGCCCUACGGGGGAAAGCAGCANUGCGCUAACAGAUGAGCCCGCGUAAGAUUAGCUAGUUGGUAAGGUAAAGGCUUACCAAGGCGACGAUCUUUAGCUGGUCUGAGAGGAUGGCCAGCCACAUUGGGACUGAUGACACGGNCCGGACUCCUACNGGAGGCAGCAACNCGGGAAUAUUGGACAAUGGGCGCAAGCCUGAUCCAGCAUAUACUCGCGUG